UACGUAGGGUCCGAGCGUUGUCCGGAGUUACUGGGCGUAAAGGGCGCGCAGGUGGCGGGGUUGGCCCGGCGUGAAAGCCCCCGGCUCAACCGGGGAGGGUCGUCGGGGACCGCACCGCUUGAGGGCGGUAGGGGCUGGUGGAAUGCCUGGUGUAGUGGUGAAAUGCGUAGAGAUCAGGCGGAACACCCGUAGCGAAGGCGGCCAGCUGGGCCGUCCCUGACACUGAGGCGCGAAGGCGUGGGGAGCGAACGGG
This 253-nucleotide ribosomal RNA is filed under the name uncultured bacterium. RNAcentral describes it as "partial 16S ribosomal RNA". It matches the Rfam family "Bacterial small subunit ribosomal RNA", at positions 524 to 776 of the family's 1533-position model. The record is from RNAcentral.